Molecule: ribosomal RNA, 458 nt
Filed under: Heteronemertea gen. sp. 1 TCH-2015
Lineage: Eukaryota; Metazoa; Nemertea; Pilidiophora; Heteronemertea
Description: partial 16S ribosomal RNA
Rfam family: Bacterial large subunit ribosomal RNA
Source: RNAcentral
UUUAAACGGCCGCGGUACUCUGACCGUGCAAAGGUAGCAUAAUCAUUUGCCCUUUUAUUGGGGGCUAGUAUGAAUGGAAUCACGAGGCCCUAGCUGUCUCUCUUUUUUGAUGGGAAGUUGCUUUUUUUGUGAAGAAGCAAAAGUUUAGAAAAAAGACAAGAAGACCCUAUUAAGCUUGACCUGUUUUUUUAUAUUUUUUCGUUUUAUAAUAGAAAUAUAUAAAAUAAUGGUUUGAUUGGGGUGAUAAAAAAAGAAAAAAUCUUUUUGCAAAUAUAAGACGUGUGUGUUUAAAAAUGGGCCAAGAUUUUUGAUAAAGUGAAUAAGUUACUAUAGGGAUAACAGCGUAAUUUUUUCUGAGAGUUCUUAUUGAAGAAAGAGAUUGCGACCUCGAUGUUGACUUGUUGUCUCCUUUGGGUGCAGAAGCCCUAAGGGUUAGUCUGUUCGACUAUUAAAACAAU